UGAGGAAUAUUGGGCAAUGCCCGCAAGGGUGACCCAGCAACGCCGCGUGGAGGAUGAAUGUCGUAAGAUUGUAAACUCCUGUUAUAUGGGAAGAACCGUCCUCAUUGAUGAGUGACCUGACGGUACCAUAGGAAUAAGCACCGGCUAACUCCGUGCCAGCAGCCGCGGUAAUACGGAGGGUGCAAGCGUUAUCCGGAUUCACUGGGUUUAAAGGGUGCGUAGGCGGAUAUGUAAGUCAGUGGUGAAAUCAACGGGCUCAACCUGUUAACUGCCAUUGAUACUGUGUAUCUUGAAUAUGAGAGAGGUAGGCGGAAUGUUGCAUGUAGCGGUGAAAUGCUUAGAUAUGCUACGGAACACCGAUUGCGAAGGCAGCUUACUAUUUCGUAAUUGACGCUGAGGCACGAAAGCGUGGGUAGCGAACA
This 422-nucleotide ribosomal RNA is filed under the name uncultured bacterium. Its description in RNAcentral is "bacterial SSU rRNA". It matches the Rfam family "Bacterial small subunit ribosomal RNA", at positions 355 to 774 of the family's 1533-position model. The record is from RNAcentral.